CCGGUGUUGCCUGUAGGUCGUGAUGUGCCUUGAGAUGGCCGUCUCCUGUCCCCCUUCCAGUGGGGAACCCGCUCCCCGGUCGUCGCUCUGCUGCGUCUGGCCCGUCCUCUAGGCACCUUUGGAAGGCAGGGAGUGUGACAACGUACACGCUUCCCUUUACUCCAUAGGGCCUUCUCAUCAGUUGCAGGGUUUGGUGGCCCGAAAUUGACUUGGCUUCGCCAAAAAGCCUCAUCUCUAAAAGCCCGGCUCGCGAGGCGUCCCUCUCGCAGUAGGGUUCCAACCCUCGCCUCGCUCUUGUGACAUGCUAUGUUUCCCCUCUCUAUUCCCAAGUAAAGGGUGAGUCCCAUGCGUCAGUUUGUGGAUCGCGGUCUCACACACUAAUCCCUACAG
This 390-nucleotide long non-coding RNA is filed under the name Capsicum annuum. RNAcentral's name for it is "long non-coding RNA (CANN_LNC019749)". Lineage: Eukaryota; Viridiplantae; Streptophyta; Magnoliopsida; Solanales; Solanaceae. The record is from RNAcentral.